AACGAACGCUGGCGGCAGGCCUAACACAUGCAAGUCGAACGCCCUGGCAACAGGGAGUGGCAGACGGGGGAGUAACGCGUGGGAACGUGCCCUUCGGUUCGGAAUAACUAAGGGAAACUUGAGCUAAUACCGAAUACGUGCGAGAGCAGAAAGAUUUAUCGCCGAAGGAUAGGCCAGCGUCGGAUUAGCUAGUUGGUGAGGUAAUGGCUCACCAAGGCGACGCUCGGUAGCUGGACUGAGAGGAUGGUCAGCCACACUGGGACUGAGACACGGCCCAGACGCCUACGGGAGGCAGCAGUGGUGAAUAUUGGACAAUGGGCGCAAGCCUGAUCCAGCCAUGCCGCGUGAGUGAUGAAGGCCCUAGGGUUGUAAAGCUCUUUCGCCAGGGACGAUAAUGACGGUACCUGGAUAAGAAGCCCCGGCUGACUUCGUGCCAGCCGCCGCCGUAA
This 449-nucleotide ribosomal RNA is filed under the name uncultured bacterium. Its description in RNAcentral is "partial 16S ribosomal RNA". It matches the Rfam family "Bacterial small subunit ribosomal RNA", at positions 29 to 523 of the family's 1533-position model. The record is from RNAcentral.